UUUUUAAACUGAAAUUAUUGGGUAUCGUGUUCUUCAACACAUGCUUUAUUUUGCAUUUGGCAUCCAGUUAGAAUAGCAGUGCACAGACAGGGAACAGAAAGAAAAAAAGAACGCGAAGACUGAUAGACAGGCGGACAGAUAUCUUCUGCUAAAUAAAAAAACUCAAACGACUAGUUAAAUCUGGCUGCUGUUCCCAUAAGUUACACUCAGAAAGCACGUGCCCCUGGAUCAGUGCCUUUGAUGAGGUUUGCUGAGCACACUGUCUGAACUGUUGUCUUCGAGGCUGGUCACAACACUAUUCCAGGCACGGUGGACUUGCAAACCUCUCCAUGUGGAUCACAGAAGAUGCACCAGCACCAAGACUUCCCACUGCUUGAAUGCGGCGUUUGUUCUGCAGCCCCAGGGGAAAGGCUCCUCACACCACCGCUGCGACUACUGUGCUGACCAGAGAGAGAGUUUGUCUUUAUCUGCUGCAGCUACUUUCAACAAUGUCUCUGCGGCAAGGUCAGAGGAAUGGAAAAAAUCCCUCAAAGAAAUAUGAAAGCUCACCUCAGAAGUGCCCUGGGAAACGUGGAGAACAAACACUUGGUUGUUCUCAUUUUGUUCUACUUUGGAUUGAGAUGACAGAACUGGAUGGCUUGCACUAAAAGAAGGAAACUGAAGGAGACAUCUUGUGAAUCGCUUGCUUAAGACGAAAAGACUUCUGCAAAACUACUCUUCGACUCUAAACUAGCCUGGUUAGAAAUUGAAGCAGCCAUCUAAACUAAACCUUUAUCCAGAUAUGCAGCAAGAAGUGCAGAUUAUGUUUGGAGAGAGAUUUUGGAAUAAUCUGCAGUUAAAAAUAUUGUAUGGGACCUUGCGUUGUGGCCUCAGAAGAGACUGAAUUGUGAGUUGCUGCUGCUGCCCUUGAACCCACUUCAGUCAAUGGAAAGUUUCAUUGGCACCUGAAUUUGUUGCUUUGGGUAGCUGCCUAGCUACCAGCUAAACCCAGCACAUAAUACUGUCAUCAGGGGAAGAGGAAUGUGCAGUCCAGCAAGCAAGACAUGCAUGGAAAAGUACGUUUCUCUCAGCGUGUUUUGCAAUCUCCAUGCUACUCCCUCCCCAUCUUCCUUUCCACUGAUCUCAUCUGUGAAGUCAAGAAGAAACUGUAGAAAGUAGCACUUGCAGGGCAAGAUCAUUUAACUGCCUGCUGAGUGCCCAACGUCAGCUUAACUUAGCUUUGAUAUUCUUAGUGGGGCCAUCCCAUUACCAGAAAGAGAUGUUCAGAUUUGUUUGUCACUCAUGGGAUCCAAAGGUACUUGAGGUUGUAUCAGUUCACACAGUGGAUUUGGGAUUGGAGCUAUGGAGUUGCCUUCUGUUGGCGUGCACUAAUUUCUUGGGAAACAAGACUGCAUGUUAUUUAAGUCCCAACACAGUGUUUCUGUUGUGUUCAGAGCACACAAAAUACUUGUUCUCCAUGCGUGAACUCCAGUCUCCAGUGGCACUGUGUAAGAACGCCCAAGCCUUCAACUCCCCCCCAAGAAAGCCAUUGUUCUUGCUCUUCUCACUGCAGCCCAGCUACGAGGAAAUGACAAGUUUCCCGUUUCUCAGAUAGGUCCAGGACCAUCUAAAAAUAACACCUAUGAAACUAGCUUCUUGAAUUAAUUAUGUCCCAGGUAAAAAUAAACCUGAAACACAAAAUGGAAUGCCCAUGCCCUUGUCCCUAAUGAGAUCUAUCAUUUCUUCUCCACCUCAUGGCAUGCCUCUCUUUUAAGUGAAACCCCAAAGCUUGCUGCCUUUCAGUAGAUCAGUACGUCUGACACGGCUGAUUAAACUCACUCUUUGACAUCCAGCUCAGUAAGUUUGAUCAUUAUUUGCACUUAGUAAAUAAGAUAAUUCAAUCAAUAAUUUUGUAAAUGAAAUAAAUGUUCUCAGCCUGUAAAGAGGAAAGGCGUUAGCAAAACAGACUCCAUGGAGGAAGAACUCUUUAAUUCAUGAAUGCACUUAAGUAACAGAUCCUCCACACAGCCUCUUACAAGAGGAAGUCAGUGCUACUUAGCUGCUAUGAAACUUACAGACAACAGAGCGGUGGAUCACUGCUCCAUCCUUGCAGAACUGCCUUGCUGGAACAGAGAUCUGCCUGACAAAUCUCCCAGAGGACAGCAAAGCAGAGAAAGCGAAGCCCUGCCUAUUCGUUCACUCUUCCUGUUAUUAAUUUGCACUAUUAUUACUAAUAAAGAUUAUUUUACUGUGCUAAUGCUUAAUUGUGACAUGGAACCAAGGAGAGCAUGGUGCUAGGCACUGCGUAAACACAGGAAAACAGGGCGUCCUGCUGCACUGAAUGGAAGGCUUUAGACAAUGUGAAUAAAUAUCCAUCCCUUCUGAAAUCCUGUUGGAGCCUCCUUCCAAGUAAUCUCGGGUUCAACCACUACUACUGAUGCAGCAAAACAGAAUCAAGAUUGACUCUGGUAAAGACUCCCUAAAAACAUAUUCUGGCAAAACAGAAACAGACUAAAUAGGCCUCGUGAAGAAAUACGUAUUUGUGAAGCUGCCCUGAUUUAAAAGAUAUGUUUUCUGUCCCUCACCCUUCACACAGACCCAAGCUAUGGUAACAUGCUGGAGAUACAUCAUGUGAUAAUUCAGGAACACUCACUAACUCUGUAGAAAAAUCAGUGAUAACACAAGAGUAAGCAAAUAAACCUUGAGAUUGUGAAGCAAAGCAAAAAAAAACAUUAAAAAGAAUCCACCAUGGUCUGGUCUGGUGCACGCUAUCAUUACCAACAUGAGUUCAUGAUCCUGAGAGGACAGCUGAUGUGCCUCACCACAGAGCAGUUCUUGGGGCAGAUUCAUUAUUAGCAAAGCACAAGCUCAACAGUUUGCUCUCCUAUAAUGAUCCAACAGUGACACUCAGGUGAGCAGCAAAUAAACAUUCAGGCUGGAAUUUGGCCAGGGCAGUAGACUGAAUAUUCUGCACUUAAUGAGAAAUGCCAUACAGGCUGCAAUGUCCAAGCAGAGCAGGAAUGAGCUCAAUUAAAAGAUCUCAUCUGAAAAUUCCCUACAUAACAAGCUACAAAGACCAGCAUUUACCAGCCCUGGGAAACAUCAAGCGUCGAGUUGACUCUGACUGCAACUGCCAAAUGUGGUAUAGCACUUGGAGAACAUUUACUGUGGAUGAAAGCAAGUGAGUUUUGCCUUGGAGGGUCCUAGGUAUGUCCCACAGGAAAAAAAACUGCAAAAGGUCUCUCUUCCUCCCUGCUGUUGGCCAGCUUCUCUUGUACGUACCAUCAUGCUCUCAAAUGAACUCACUCAUAAUGUGAUGACAACCUUCCCAUUCUUUGGAUGCCAGACUUUAAAUGAAAGGAAAUUAGGGUGUUUGGAAGGGUGUCACUUUAUCCUCUGCCAAAGACCUGGAGAAUUUUCUUUCUCUUUUUUUUAGGAGCAGCCAAGCCACUUUUGAUCACAUACCCACUGAGCACGGCUGAUGUGCCGUAAAACAAAACUAAACACAUUUACUUCAUAAUUGUCUAUUCCUUUUUCUCUUCCUACCCAUACUUUUUUCCUUCUAUUGUUCUAUUCACUUUACAUGCCCAGGCUCUACUAGUACUGGCCUUGUAUAUCUCCCUCUCCCUAUCUUUACUUUUCCUGCACAUUACUUUCUCCUCCUCUCUCCUAAUUUAACCUAGUCUAGUCUAACCUACCCUAAUCUCACCUAACCUACUUUAAUCUAAUCUCUCCUCUUUCUUCCUUUGCUCUUAUUUCCCUUUCAUAUUUCCUGUUCAAACAGAAAGUAGUUUGGCCACUUCCAACUUCAAAUUUAUGGUUGUGUCUUACAGCAAUUCACUAACAGAAAUAACAUGAUAUUUAAGAUAAAAAUGCCCAGCUUAUCAUGGCAUUUCCUUCAGUUUUGUUGCUCUAACUCCACUGAAUUCAGCAGAGUUGUGGUGAAUGGAAAAACAAGAUAAUUGAACAGGCAUUAGUGCUUUUGGUUAUUCAGCGUGACUGUCGGUACUCCAGACAGAGCCCCAUGGGCAUCUGCAUGCUAGGAGACAAGCCUUGUGGGUGCCUGCUGUUACUUACGUAACGAUAUUCCCAUCCUGUUCUAUCUAUAAAUUCACAAGGACUCACUAAACUGUUUAUUUUCCAUUUAUAACUGUUGAAAGUCUCUAACAUGAGCUCUAAUACUAUUCUAAACGCCACUAUCUGAAAUUAGCUGUAAAUCUCUCGUGCUGCUUAAGCUCAAGGAAGUUCACUGAUCUUGAAGUUUGGUAUCUAGACAACAAUCUUCUUUAAAUAGCUCGCCCAGAGAUAUAAGCUAAACAGAAAGGUCGUAGACUUGAAAAACCUUGAAGAAAUAGCUUCAAGACACUCUCCAGGCAAGGUCAGUAACUCUGCCAUAACACUGACUUUCUCAAUACUUUUAAUUCUCAGAGGAAUAUUAAUAUUAUUUAUCACAAUCAUGGUGAGGUAUUCAGUAAAAACAAGAGUUUUCCUUCAGUCUGCCAUAGCCCAUAGCAAUAUCAGUAGCCAAACAGAUGUAGCUCCAUAUUGUACAAGGGAAGUUUCAAUUUAUCAGUGAAGUUGGAAUGGAAAAUAUUAAGAGCAUCUGGAGACACUAUUCCACAUCUGCUGAAGAUAAAAUAUGUAAUUGUAUCAAGUGGGAAACUCAUAAGAAAUAUAGGAUUUUCUCGUAAAUGUUAGUAAUUUACAUUGAAAUGUGCUUAGAACAGUUAGCUAUAUAAGUAAUUUGUUACUGUUGAGAGUAACACACAGUUUUGACCACAUUGCUAAAGUCACAGCCUUGACAGUGCCCCCAACAAAGUCCAGUCCCUGGUUAUUGCAGGCUGCCGUUAUCUGACACCGCCGUCUCAGGAUAAUUACCAAAAACUCUCCGUAUGUUUCUCUAGUGGACACUGAACAUCACUGUCACAGAGCAUAGAACUGUUGAACGGCUCGUGUUGAAGGGGCUUUGGGGGUGAUCUAGUUCCAACCUACCCUCCUCUGAGGUCGUCAGAAAAUGCAGCGAUUCACCAGACACAGAGCCGUGUUCACAGCUGUGCAGAUCUGGGCAAUGUCCACUGAAAGUUUGCCUAUCUUGACAACACUGCACUGCUGCUAGCGCUUUCUUGUCCCUGUAGAGCUCUUCAGAAGUCCCUGGGGUUGUGCCAGCUGGUGGGGCAGUGCAGAAGAACAAACUGCCCCUCUCCUCUGUAACAUCUUCUGUCUGCCAUUAAUGACUAAAACUGCUAUCACGGAGCAGGCCAUUCAUCCUACCUGCAUACAGGAAAAACUGACUGGCAUUUUAACUCAGCUGAAGCAUUCAGCAGUAGCCAUAUGAUGAAUUGUCAUCUUAAUCCUCCUGUUUGCCUGAUGGGCUGCAAAGGCAAGGAAGCAGUGAUGAAUGUAACGGCAGCAACAAGAUGUAGCCACGCUGAUGAUUUUUUCCCCAACAUUUAUCAGCAAAUCCAGAUGUUUACUGCUUGCAACUCUCCAGUUCAUCAGUUUAAAUGACAUAAAAUGUUAAUGCAUAUUUAGAUGUUUGAAUCACAUUUGAGUCUCCAUCAUUCUUUUGGUUAGUUAGCAGCAGUCAGAUAGGAAGCACUAUUGAAGAAUGUUCUGGACACACUUUCCACCACCUUUUUUUUUGGUCAGAGGUUUGUGUAUUGGUUAAACAUUAUAGUAUUGAGUCCUGCCUUAUAAUUCUAACCUACUUAUUUUUGUUCAAAAAGAAAAACAAAACUUACUGAUGGCAAAAUGUAAAUGCUGUAGAAUGCAUCUCCGUAUAUCCUGAAUGAACACAGGAUGCUAACCAGCAUCUAUUCCUAUCCAUUGUUGCUUUCUCUUUACCCCACUACCACCCUUUUCAAAUGCGUUUUGUUUGCUAAUGCAAUAUAUGACAGAAAGGAGUUGGAGCGUCGAUAACAUUUCAACUGUUCUUUUCACUUCCUAACACCCCUUUGCAAAAGCAGUGCAUUACACAGGAAUGAACUGAAGCUAUAAAAUGAUUAACUU
Long non-coding RNA from Lagopus muta (rock ptarmigan), 5988 nucleotides. RefSeq lists it as uncharacterized. The record is from RefSeq and is a predicted model, not a curated record. The transcript is spliced from 3 exons. Lineage: Eukaryota; Metazoa; Chordata; Aves; Galliformes; Phasianidae.